This 345-nucleotide long non-coding RNA is filed under the name Prunus dulcis (almond). RNAcentral's name for it is "sRNA ncRNA". Lineage: Eukaryota; Viridiplantae; Streptophyta; Magnoliopsida; Rosales; Rosaceae. The record is from RNAcentral.
AUGAAGGGCCAGUCAGCUUUUUUCCCUAUGCUUAUUUUGCUUCUCUUGGUUUUCUCUCUUGGUAUAUGCAUGUCCUUUUUUAUAUAUAAUAUUAGGCUUUUUGGUUCACAAUCUGAAUUCAUGCUUGGUUUAUGGCUUCACAUGUCUUAACCUUUUUUUUUUUCUUUUUUUUUUUUGGGUGGAUAUUUAGGUAAAAUGCAAGGAGAGGCACAAACAUGCUCCUUCCCUACUAUUCCAAUUAUGAACUGCUCAAAGCAAUCCUGUAUCUUAACCUGCAUUCAACAAUAUGGCGGAAACAUCAAUGGCGGAUGCAUCGACAACGAUACGUGUUGUUGCAAGAAUUGA